Molecule: ribosomal RNA, 1334 nt
Filed under: uncultured bacterium
Lineage: Bacteria
Description: bacterial SSU rRNA
Rfam family: Bacterial small subunit ribosomal RNA
Source: RNAcentral
GGCCUAACACAGCAAGUCGAGCGGGGACUUCGGUCCUAGCGGCGGACGGGUGAGUAAUACUUGGGAAUCUGCCUAGUAGUGGGGGACAACGUUUCGAAAGGAACGCUAAUACCGCAUACGCCCUACGGGGGAAAGGGGGGGAUCUUCGGACCUCUCGCUAUUAGAUGAGCCCAAGUCGGAUUAGCUAGUUGGUGGGGUAAAGGCCUACCAAGGCGACGAUCCGUAACUGGUCUGAGAGGAUGAUCAGUCACACUGGAACUGAGACACGGUCCAGACUCCUACGGGAGGCAGCAGUGGGGAAUAUUGGACAAUGGGGGAAACCCUGAUCCAGCCAUGCCGCGUGUGUGAAGAAGGCCUUCGGGUUGUAAAGCACUUUAAGCGAGGAGGAAGGGUUCUUAAUUAAUACUUGAGAGCAUUGACGUUACUCGCAGAAUAAGCACCGGCUAACUCUGUGCCAGCAGCCGCGGUAAUACAGAGGGUGCAAGCGUUAAUCGGAAUUACUGGGCGUAAAGCGCGCGUAGGCGGUUGUAUAAGUUGGAUGUGAAAUCCCCGGGCUUAACCUGGGCACUGCAUUCAAAAACUGUACGGCUAGAGUGUAGGAGAGGAAGGUAGAAUUCCAGGUGUAGCGGUGAAAUGCGUAGAGAUCUGGAGGAAUACCGAUGGCGAAGGCAGCCUUCUGGCCUAACACUGACGCUGAGGUGCGAAAGCAUGGGGAGCAAACAGGAUUAGAUACCCUGGUAGUCCAUGCCGUAAACGAUGUCUACUAGCCGUUGGGGGACUUGAUCCUUUAGUGGCGCAGCUAACGCAUUAAGUAGACCGCCUGGGGAGUACGGUCGCAAGACUAAAACUCAAAUGAAUUGACGGGGGCCCGCACAAGCGGUGGAGCAUGUGGUUUAAUUCGAUGCAACGCGAAGAACCUUACCUGGCCUUGACAUGUCUGGAAUCCUGUAGAGAUACGGGAGUGCCUUCGGGAAUCAGAACACAGGUGCUGCAUGGCUGUCGUCAGCUCGUGUCGUGAGAUGUUGGGUUAAGUCCCGCAACGAGCGCAACCCUUGUCCUUAGUUGCCAGCACGUAAUGGUGGGAACUCUAGGGAGACUGCCGGUGACAAACCGGAGGAAGGCGGGGACGACGUCAAGUCAUCAUGGCCCUUACGGCCAGGGCUACACACGUGCUACAAUGGUCGGUACAGAGGGUUGCUAGCCCGCGAGGGUACGCUAAUCUCACAAAGCCGAUCGUAGUCCGGAUUGGAGUCUGCAACUCGACUCCAUGAAGUCGGAAUCGCUAGUAAUCGCGGAUCAGAAUGCCGCGGUGAAUACGUUCCCGGGCCUUGUAC